GAAAAAACAUCCCUUAAAGCACCUGUCCCCAGUAGCAGCAACCCGGGGUUUCGGACGGGAGGUUGGGAGCCUUCCCUGCCCUCCGUGAAGGGAGGGAGCAGCGCCGGGGGCACAGUGCAGAAAUAACACCAAAAACAGACUUUCUGCAAGUGUCUGUGGACUUACACAGCAGCCUCAAGCGCAGCUGCCCGAGAAAUGCAACAGCAUCUUCCACACCGCUAUGAGGAAAAAGGAAGAGACAGGCUGACUAAUUCCAGUGGGAGCAGCAAACACAGGCUGCUGGUCUGGGCUCUUCCUGUGCUCAUCUUCAAUGAUGUCUUCCUCCUCCACCUCCAGCUCAUUGGAGCUCACUUCAGCUGGCCGAGGUUUCCUGUUGGCACAGAACUCACAGUGGCACAGAGAAAGAACAGGAGGUAAGAUGACAGUUCACAAGCUCACACAAGGAGGAGGAGUACAGAGGAUGGUAGGAAAACAGUAAGAAAUCAGGGUAAGAAGUCUUAGGAGUAGCAAAGGCUCAAUACACACAUGUACAUGUGUUAAGUGAUAAACUGAAAUACUCUGAAUAAUACUCUGAAAAAUGAACUUAUUGUUUAAAGCAGAGUGGCAACAUUUCAGUUACCUUGAUUGAAAUAGCAAACAGUAAAGAGAGCGAAAUAAAACAACAGUUCUAACAAUGCACAGGUAUCCAAUUUAAAUAAUCAGCCUGCAUUUAGGAAAAGCAUAAGGCUCUAUCUUUAGAGAA
This is a long non-coding RNA of Oenanthe melanoleuca, 742 nucleotides long. RefSeq lists it as uncharacterized. The record is from RefSeq and is a predicted model, not a curated record. The transcript is spliced from 3 exons. Lineage: Eukaryota; Metazoa; Chordata; Aves; Passeriformes; Muscicapidae.